UCGACCGCAAGGUCGAGGUGAUCCUUCCGCGUAACACUUGCCGAAGCCUUAGCAGCCUGAAAAGGUGCAGCCCCGACGACUAUAAUCACGAAGAGGGUUGCUUAAAUGCUAGUCCGCGCACAGCGGGCGACACUAUCAAAUUGCGGGAACACCCUAAAGACCUCAACACCAAGCGAUCGCGGGAAACCGCGGCGUGGCCGAGCUAAUAGCCCUGGGUAUGGUAACAGCUUGAGGUAUGACGCCCCCUCUAGGGGUUGAAAUGGGCAAUCCGCAGCCAAGUCCUAAAGCGCCCGAGUGUGGGCGCCAUGGAUGCUGUUCACAGGCCAAAUGGUAGUGGGUGACUCUAGACAGAGUUGCUUAAGAUAUGGUCGGGCCCCUUCAGAAAUAUUGGGGAUAAGUUUACGCAGACAGAUAUGCUCUAAUUGAGCUUUCUGUAAAUAUAACCGUUCCGUAGGUGAACCUGCGGAAGGAUCAUUA
RNAcentral lists this ribosomal RNA (477 nucleotides) under Pleosporales sp. RNAcentral's name for it is "partial 18S ribosomal RNA". The stretch from base 77 to 392 matches the Rfam family "Group I catalytic intron". Rfam says of the family: Group I catalytic introns are large self-splicing ribozymes. They catalyse their own excision from mRNA, tRNA and rRNA precursors in a wide range of organisms. The core secondary structure consists of 9 paired regions (P1-P9). Lineage: Eukaryota; Fungi; Ascomycota; Dothideomycetes; Pleosporales. The record is from RNAcentral.